ACAGGCGCUCCGUGGUUUUUGCGCUCAAGGUACGCUACCUGAUGAAACGUGACUUCCAGGACAAGCGCUCCGUGGUUCCUGCGCUCCAGGUUCGCUACUUGGUGGAGCUUGACUUCCAGGACAAGCGAUCCGUGGUUCCUGCGCUCCAGGUACGCACCUGGUGAAGCUUGACUUCCAGAACAGGCGUUCCGUGGUUUUUGCGCUCAAGGUAUAACGCGAGGUGGUUAUCGGUGGUUGUUGGACGUGGUUGGCGUGGUUGGCGGUGGACGAGGAGGAGGACGAGGAUUUGUGCUCGACGAGUAUAACCCGAGGUGGUUAUCGGUGGUUGUUGGAGGUGGUUGGCAGUGGUUGGAGGGAGCUGAAGGUGAUUUGAACUGGUUGGAGGUCGUUGGAGCUAGUUGGCGGUGGUAGAAGGUAAACGGAGGUGGUCGAGAACGAGAAGGAGGACAAGGAGAGGGAGGAGGAGGACGAGGUGGACAAGAAGGAUGGAGAUCGUCGUAGGUGAAUGAAGGUGGUAAGGUAGUCUGGGGUGUUGGGUUGGUGUAGUGUUGGGGUGUUGGGGUGUUAAGGUGUCGGGGUGGUGGGGACCUACCCUAACCAACCCUACCCAACACCCUACGUUACCCUACCCUACCCUACCCUACUCUACCCUACCCUACACUCCCCUAGCCUUCCUGCCCCUACCCUCCUCCUAUACUCCUAAUUCUACUCCUACUCCUACUCCUACUCCUACUUCUACUUCUACUUUAAUCUUAUUACUACUUCCACUCCAAUCUUACUCCAACUCCUGAUCCUACUCCUAAUCCUACUCCUACUUCUACUCCAAUCUUACUCCUACUCCUACUCCUGAUCCCACUCCUAUUCCUACUCCUAAUUCUAAAUACUAAUAUUAUGGAAUAUAUAGACUGCGUGUCGAAUUAAAUCCCAUAUCGAAACGAACAAUUCUUUUAUUGUCAUAUUACAGCCGAUUAUAGUGGGUAAUCUAGUAUGUUUCCUAGAAAAUUAUAAACUUUAUAGUAUGCAUCACAUAUUAAUCAUAAAUGAAUCAUACAUUUCAAUGUCGUACAUGGACCGCAUAUACAUUUAUACUUUUUGGUCUCUGAAUGAUUAUUACAUCUGAUCUAUUUUUAUUCAUGACCUAUGUGUACAUUCAUCUCUCGGGUACCUAUACUUUAAUUAAAUCACUGUUUUGCUAAGAAUUUUGAAAGAUAUUUAUUCUCAUUAUUUAUUUCUUGUAUCGCCGACAAGUCGGUAAGUACACUCAGGCCAAGUACUAGCUUGGGCUUACCAUUGCAAAGACUGUGUUACUCAGAAGGUGAAUGCAGCCAGCAUCAUAUCGAAAUCGAAAACUCUCUGAUGUUCUGCAAUAAGUUCUCAACUCUACCGUUGAAACAUCUCACAGAGCAAUUUGCGGUUGUCACAUCAAAGCCCAUAAGGGCAACUGUCUGUAUAUUCUUCAUCCAAUCGUAGGGCUAACCCCUUUGCAUUUUUGUCAAAAAUUUUCGCGAUUCUGAAAAGUGCUGGAAUAAAUUCGUUCAUGCACUAUGCCGGCGUACUUUCGCGAGAGAAAUCAAUUGUGCGCAGUCCCGAUACGCUGCGAUCAACGCAUGAAAAGUUAGAGCCAAAAAACGAGAACCUGUAUUUUCGGAAUUUUUUAGCAGGUGCAGUUUCCUUCUUAAUUUCUUUCCUGUUGAUCCUACGCUCUUUUUGCUGCGUUUUCUGGGUUCCUGGAGGCCCAAUUAGUCAGAAACGGGUCAUACCAAUCGAAUCUGAGACCAAAAAUUUUUUGGUCGAAAAAUGAAAAAAAAGUAAGG
Neodiprion virginianus is the source of this 1814-nucleotide long non-coding RNA. RefSeq lists it as uncharacterized. Lineage: Eukaryota; Metazoa; Arthropoda; Insecta; Hymenoptera; Diprionidae. The record is from RefSeq and is a predicted model, not a curated record. The transcript has 3 exons.